CCCCGCUCAGUUGAUAGAGCAUGAUGUUUGCAACGCCAGAGUUGUGGGUUCGAUUCCCACGGGGG
This 65-nucleotide transfer RNA is filed under the name Salmo salar (Atlantic salmon). It matches the Rfam family "tRNA". From Rfam's summary of the family: Transfer RNA (tRNA) molecules are approximately 80 nucleotides in length. The record is from Rfam by way of RNAcentral. Lineage: Eukaryota; Metazoa; Chordata; Actinopteri; Salmoniformes; Salmonidae.